This 393-nucleotide ribosomal RNA is filed under the name uncultured bacterium. RNAcentral's name for it is "partial 16S ribosomal RNA". It matches the Rfam family "Bacterial small subunit ribosomal RNA", at positions 523 to 918 of the family's 1533-position model. The record is from RNAcentral.
AUACGGAAGGUCCGGGCGUUAUCCGGAUUUAUUGGGUUUAAAGGGAGCGCAGGCGGAGAUGCAAGCGUGACGUCAAAUUUCGGGGCUCAACCCCGUCUCGCGUCGCGAACUGCGUCCCUUGGUUGCGGGAAGGGGAGGCGGAACUCGUGGUGUAGCGGUGAAAUGCAUAGAUAUCACGAAGAACCCCGAUCGCGAAGGCAGCCUUCCGGCCCGUCAACGACGCUCAUGCUCGAAGGUGCGGGUAUCAAACAGGAUUAGAUUCCCUGGUAGUCCACGCAGUAAACGAUGAUGACUAACUGCCGGCCCGUUGCGGGUCGGUGGCCAAGCGAAAGCGAUAAGUCAUCCACCUGGGGAGUACGACCGCAAGGUUGAAACUCAAAGGAAUUGACGGGG